RNAcentral lists this ribosomal RNA (418 nucleotides) under uncultured bacterium. RNAcentral's name for it is "bacterial SSU rRNA". It matches the Rfam family "Bacterial small subunit ribosomal RNA", at positions 29 to 447 of the family's 1533-position model. The record is from RNAcentral.
AUUGAACGCUGGCGGCAUGCCUUACACAUGCAAGUCGAACGGCAGCACGGGUGCUUGCACCUGGUGGCGAGUGGCGAACGGGUGAGUAAUACAUCGGGAACGUACCUUAUCGUGGGGGAUAACGCAGCGAAAGCUGUGCUAAUACCGCAUACGCCCUGAGGGGGAAAGCGGGGGAUCGAAAGACCUCGCGCGAUUAGAGCGGCCGAUGCCUGAUUAGCUUGUUGGUGGGGUAAAGCCCACCAAGGCGACGAUCAGUAGCUGGUCUGAGAGGACGAUCAGCCACACUGGGACUGAGACACGGCCCAGACUCCUACGGGAGGCAGCAGUGGGGAAUUUUGGACAAUGGGGGGAAACCCUGAUCCAGCAAUGCCGCGUGAGUGAAGAAGGCCUCGGGUUGUAAGCUCUUUGUCUAGGGAAG